GUUCUGUUGGUGGUACGUCAGGAAAUGGGCUGUUUCUAGUGAGUGAGCCAUCUGGAUUCUCCACAAAAUCGCAGAGAUCUGUUAACUUGACAGAGGAAGCUAACAUGGUUGAGACAAGGUAGUAAAUUCUAAGGGAGAUGAAGAACAGUAUGCAAGAGGAGGAAUUACUAGAAGGAAGGGAAGUGAAUGGAUGGUAGUCAAUGUUGAAAUUUUUAUGGGACCAUCCACUUGUUGGUGUAUAUGAGAGUUGUCUUUUAUUUCAUUGCAUUUAUCUUUGUAAAAUUCCGCUGCGCCACUACAGUCAAACUUGUAUUAAUAUCUCAAAAUUAUCUGUAGAUAAACUCAAAUUUAAUAACUUCCUAUAAAACCCAAAAUCUCUCCCAUAAAAAUAUAGGUUUACGCUAGGCAUACUGUCCAGCACCCUAGAUGCUAGGCGUGCAAUUCAAUACCCUUCCUAUAUUUUUUGGGCUCAAGCUCCGUGUCUCAGCCAUAAAUCCCAGCAGCGUACUUGAAUCUAAUAUUUUCCAUCCAUGACGGGUUCAGGGAAUUCACCUAAACCCAACAUUUUCUUCAGAAAUUUGGUAAUUUUUCAGUAUCCCACGCAAGUUCUUCGGUAAUUUUUUCAAUUAUUAACUAUCAGUCAUCUUGUUUUACCGAAUCAACUACUAAUUAUCAAUCUUCUUAGUUAGAAAAAAUAUAUCAAACUAUUUUACACAUCAUCGUUAACAAAAACUCAUUCAAGACAAAAAGACGAUGGAGAAACAUUGAUGUAUUGGCUGAUAAACGGUCCCAAGAAAGACUAUUUUUGGCUAGGAGAUAAAUGACGAGUGGAUCUGCCUUGAUGGAGUGUUUUUGUCACUACUUUAUAGACAAAACUUCCAGCCUGCAAGGCUGAAGAUAUUGGAUGAUAUCUCCAAGUGGAUUUUUUUUUUUUUUUUUUGUAUUUACGUUCAUGCAAAAUCUCAUCUCUUAUCUCCAAGUGGAUAUUGUCAUUUUCUAGUUGAUAAUAACACUCCAUUCAUUAGAAGUUUAAACGAUUUCUCUUCCUUUACCUUUAGUUAACAAGGGAAAAGAUUGGGGCUGCAAUUCGUCUAAAAAAAUCAAAUAAAUGAUUAAAGAAGAUGAUGAAAAAAAUGAUUUUCUAUUUUUGAGAAACAAUUUAAUGAAAUUACUGAAUGACAUGCAAAACUGUCAACCCCCCACACGCGCGCGCACUAACUCAUUAGUAAAUAUUAUAGAUUAUUAUUAAAGAGGUAAUAUUUUUAUCAUUUCUCUUUAAAUCUUCUUAACAACCAGAUUAUUAUUUUUUAAAAUAAAUACAUUAUUCAUGACAAUUUAUUUGCUUAUGGCACCGGUAUGUAUAGAGAUCCUUUUAAUCAAUGUCCCGGUUUUUCUACUUGAGCUCCGAUGAUGGCAUCGCUUAAGGAGGAUUGAAGCUUACAAGCACACUUAUGGUUCUGACAAAAACAAGUACUACACAAACAUUUCUUGCCUAUACACCAACAUCUUUGGCCUGCACAGUCUGCAUUUUUAUUGCAAUGCAAUGUAAUCACGGUGCUUCUUGCUUCUCCUACAUGUGAACCUGACAAACACAAGUCCACAAUAUUUUAUUUUUUUAAUUAUGAAAGGUAUAGAAUAAUAUUUGUUUGUGUGAAUAUUAGAAUGAAAUAUAAGAGAGAGAGAGACUAACAAGAAGCGAUGAUUAAAAGUGCAAAGACCAAGAAAGUUAGCUUGAAUGAAGACUUCUCCAUCUCUCUUUCUUUGCUAUGAAAAUACCUUAGAGAUAUGUAAAUGCCAAUUACUUGUUUUUUUUUUAUAUGCAAUGAAUUAAUAAGGAUAGGCUGUUAUGGGGCUAAUAAUGGAAAGGUAUAUCUUAGUGAAUUACAUACCUUUUUUUCUAUAUCAUAUUAUCUAUAAAUUAUAAUAAUGUAAAUAUUAAGAAGGGAAAAGAGACGCCUACCUAUUUAUUCAUGGAUUUAUGUUGCAUUCUAAAUAGUUACGUGUUUGGACAAAACUUGCCAACAAGAUAAGAUUUCAAAUUUGAAUCAUAUCCAGGCCAGUAUGGAUCAGAUCCAAUAUUUGGGUUAUUUUUUAUGCAUGAAUUGUUCAGACUAAGAGAAUUCACCAUUUUAAUGUGUUUCUUAAUUAUAUACAUUGUUUUUUAUAUAUAUUUAAAUUCUUGAAUUAAUUAAGAAUAUUUUUAAAUAUUAUUUUAUUGAAUUUCAUUUGAUUUUUAUUUUUUCCUUGAAUAAGAUAAUAUAAAUCGUUUUUUUAUAUAAUAUUAGCAAGUGUUCUUUUUAUAUAACCUAUUAUAAAAAAAAUUUCAAAUUUUAAUAAGUUGAUUUAACAUGAACAAUAAUUUUUGUUAUCACUAGCUCAUUUGUCCGUGCUAUACUACGGGCUGAACCAUGUUUUUAAAAACAUAAAAAAAAAAGUUAUUAAGAGCACUGAGAUUUUUUUCAUCAAGUGAUAAAUCUUGUGUUAAAAAAAAACAUGUGGAUAGCUUAUCAAUCAUUUCCUUAGCCAAGAAUCUUAUGUUUCAUGAUAAAAAUAAGCGUGUUGACACAAGAUUUCAUUACGUAUGAAAUUGCAUUCCAAACUAGUCAAAGUCACGUAUGUGAAGACCCAAGACCAAGUCGCAGAUAUUUUCACUAAGCCACUUAAACAUGAUGUUUUUGCCAAGAUGAGAGAUAUGCUGAGAGUUAUAGGAAAUCAAUUUUAAGGGGGGAUGUUGAAAAUAAAAUUUUUUUUUUUUUUUUUAAAACAGAGGAACUGGUCAACCAAUCAAAUUAAAUAAACCACUUUACCAAUUGAGAAUCGGAUGACCGAUUAAGUUGGUAGAAUUACUUUUCCUAUCCAAAUAGGAUUUCCUUUGCUUAGUAUAAUUCAUUGAUUAUCUAGGACUUUAGACCUAUAAAUAAGCUUAUAAUCAGAAGCAUAAAACAUAAGUAUAAUAGAAAUAAAAUGUGUAUAUAAAAGAAAAUAUGUAAUGAAGCACUCUUUCUUUUUAAAUUUUCUUCUUAUUAUUUAGCUUUGCUAUUUUGCAUUAUUUUUCAUAAGCUUCUGCUACACUAAUUUUUCUUCUAACAUUGUGGUGGUGUAUGCAGGUAGGGAUUUGUUAUUGUGAAACUACUAUGAAUGGAUGGAGUAGGGAGGUUGUGUUGCUACGCUUGUUUGCUUUUGCAUGGGAUUGUGGGGAAAUGGCCAUCUUUGAUGUCGUUGGGAUAAGAAAGGGGGAGGUUGUUGAUGGAAAUUAAGGUGUGCUAGUCAUGGUGGAAGAUUGUGUCUUGCUUGGUGGUAAAGAAGGGAAGAAACACCAAUAGUGGUGUCAAGCCUACUGUUGUUGGUGUUUUGCUGUUGCAAUAGAGAGCUGUUGCCGGGUAGGUGCUUAGCGGUGGAUGUAUUGGGUGAUGGUGGUUGGUGCCACGGGUUAUGAGGGAGAUAAGAUCAUAAGGGAUAGGUGAGAGCUGACGGGUUUUCUUUUCUAUCUUUAUUAGUUCAUUUUGUGUUUUUUUUUUAUGGAUGCUAUUUUGAGAAAGAAGGUGAUGAGAGAGGGCUGGUUGGUGCACUGUCUCUUUUUAUUUCUUUCUCGAGGGAGAGCCAAUAAAGGAGAAAGAAAUUAAAGUAAGUGUUGUCAGUUUUCGAAAAUGGUUACUAAGUGCCGCACAUGUGCGGCAUCGCGACGAAUCGUCCACUCUCAGGUAUUUAUCUAUCUGGAAAAUAUGGAGAGACAAGCAAUUAUCAAUAGAAAACGGAAAUGGGAGUCACCACCUAGUAUUUUGGUCACUAGGAACCCUAACUGGUCUUAAAGAUCGGGUACGGAAACUGGUUGUGUAAAGGAAAGGUAUUAGCACCCCAAAUACGCCCUACCUAAGGUAAGCUGCAUUGUUUGAUUGUCUGAUAAAAAACCAAGGUAUUAUUAUUUUCUAAUUGGUGGUCUGUUUAAGGUUCAAGAAAAGUCCUCCUUGAUAAGGAAGUCCCUAUCUUAUAAGAUAAAACCUAAUCAUUUCGAUGUCGGCUGUCGCGGGGCGACGGCGGAGGCUUUCGUCGUGCCUCCUGAUGAGGGGUGUUGUGUGUUGAGAAGGUUUUUGGAUUUAAUCAUAAAAUUAUUAUUAAUGUUUAGGAGUCGCCACCUAGUAUUAUGGUCACUAAGAACCUAUGAUCUGCGAGAUUUUGAGUAAGGGACUGGUUGUGUAAGGGAAAGACGCAUCACCCCCAGUGCACCCUACCUAAGGUAAGCUGCAUUGUUGUUUAAUUGUUUUUUUCUAAAUCGGGUUUUUAUUUGUUGGUCUUUUCUAAAGCUUAAGGCAGAUCUCUCUUCAUGAGAGAGUCUCUACCUUAUUGGGUUAAAUCCUAACCAUUCUAGAGUCUGAAUUUUAGCAUCACAUUUCUACACCUUGUAUCUUUAAUACCUGAGGGUGUACUUUAUCGUGUAAUUUUACACCCCACAAAUAUUAAAGUCUACAUCUGGACCCUAAAAAAAGAUUGGAAAAUGAUUUUUGACAUGUUGGUCAAAUCCUAAUGUAUAAUUAUACACUGGUAACGAUAUCAAUUUUUGGAUUUUGUAAACAUGAAAAAAAAUGCAAUUAUAGUUUUUUUUUAUGAAAAAUAUUCUUGGAAAAAUUUUAGGAUUUGGCCGUAUGCAACAAAAUAUUUUUUUUUGUUUUUGAAAGUGUUUUGAAAUUUUUAUUUUUUUUGAAAUAUUUUAGAGAAAAUCGGGUAUUUUAAUACUGAAUUUGUAUUUUACAGUGUAAAUAUACAACUCAAUAUUAUAAAAAAUUGUUAGAAAAAUAUUCUUAAAAAUCACAAUUUUUUUAAAGGAUUUUUUAUUUUUAUUUUUUUGUCCACUGGAACAGUGGAACUCUUAUGGGGAAGACGAAGAACCAGGGGAAGGGUAGUAGACCACCUGGCGUGGCGGUGAUGGUUGGCGGGGGAGGAUGACCUGAAGCCGGCGGUGGAGUUGGUUGGAGCGGCUAGAGCUGGAAGAGGAAGAAAAGGAGGAAAUCUGCAGAGGGGAGAGAGACGUUCACAAUGGCUUAUUACAGACGUAGUGGUGGCUGGCUGGUGGUCUUGGCAACACGUGGUGGUGCUGGUUGCUCAAGGCGGAGCUGGAGGAAGAAAGAAGAAGAAGUAGAAGAAGAAAAUCUACAGCGGGGAAAAGGAGGAAAGGAAGGAGAGGAGAGAGACGCGGUGUCUGUUGGUGCAGGAGAAAGGUUUCUGUGGUGGUGCUGAUGGUGGGAAGACCGGUGAUGGUGGUGGUUGUGGCCAAAGGCCACAGUGGAGAGAGAAAGAAGAGAGAGGACUGUGCAGAAAAAAACCGGGGACGAGGCUGGUUUUUUUUUAUUUUUGGACCCGAAUUUCCCCUCCCUCAGGCCAUCAAAUCCACCUAUAUUUAUAGGCAGUGGAAGAGGACAAUAUUUUCUACACUGGAGAAAAAUUGCAGCCCUUGAUUCAGAUGGGAAGGAUCCCAACUGUUGGCUCAAAGUAGAUAUGGUGCACUGUCAAAUUGUCAAAUCUGCAGUUGUAGGCUACCUGAGUUGGCCUUUUUGGGGUGGUGCUACGUCUGUUUAUUUGCCAUUUAGCCGGUGAAGACCAUACCCGGACGUAGAUGGAUGUCUGGUGAUCAGUUUCGUUCAAGUUUUGGCAAAUUAAUUUGGUGGAUGUUAGGGACAUUAAAUGCAGCUGCAAAGUAGGUAACCGGACCAGCUAUUUCAGAGAAUUAAAGAAGAAGAUAAACAGUACCAGAAUUAUGUUAUUAGCCAAAGUUCAUUUCAGUCCUUUCUCUUUUAAUUGCUUUCAAUUGAACCCCUAAUUAAAAACGACCUACAUAUAAUCAAGACAAACAGUACUGAUCAAACCAGACACCUUACUGCCGGUUGAUGUACGUAGCCAACACUAUGAUCAUUAAACAGUUGUGUAAACAAAUUCUUUACCAUAGUCAUAGAAAGCCUUGGCUUUUGCAGGAUCAAAAACCUCCACACCAUGGAAGCCAUCCUCAUCAAACCUCGCAACCACGUCCACUCCACGCGACUCUAACAUCUUCACCAGUUCCUUUUGCUUGUCAACAAGUGGAUCCCCACCGUAUCCUCUGAAGAAACACCUCGGCAGCCGUUCGAUUUUGUUCUUUUCAAGAGACCCGCCAACAAUGGGAUUGCAAUACUCAUCAUCACGAUCGGUAUCUUCAGGCAAAGACAGAGCCCACAUCCUAUCACUAGUAGCCAAUGGCAAAACCGGAUCAUUGAUCAACCUCUUCUCUGAUUCAGUCCUGGUGACAGCAGAAAAAUAGGGGACAUUCAAUAUCAAACCAAUGAUUUUCAAGGGUUUGAUAUCAAUAUUCAAGGCAAGCAAGUUUGCAUGGUAAGCAAUAUUGCCACCAGCACUCAUGCCCAUCAAGAAACACCUUGAAAAAUCAAGGUAUUCUUUAAACCAAGGUUCACAAGAAGGGCCGUUGAUAUCCAAAACUUGGUUUUGGACCCACUUGAUAGACUCCAUAGCAUCUUCAUACGCAGCGGGAAGGCGAUGUUCAGGGGCAAGACGAUAGUCAACAGACAGGACGAGAGCGGGGAAGUGAGAAGCCAUGUCACUGCAUGUUUGAUGGAAAGCAAGAGUUGCAGCGCUGUAAAGAACAAAGCCACCUCCAUGAAAGUAAAUAAUGAGAGGGAGUGCGGUGUUUUGAGGGGGAUUUAGGGGGCGAAACAAACGAAGAAAUGUUUUGUUGUUGGGGUUUAGAGGGAUGUCUUUCGAGAGAGAAAGUUCUUUGGAACCUGGAGUUUUUUGUUCUGUUGGUGGUACGUCAGGAAAUGCGCUGUUUCUAGUGAGUGAGCCAUCUGGAUUCUCCAUAAAAUCGCAGAGAUCUGUUAACUUGACAGAGGAAGCUAACAUGGUUGAGACAAGGUAGUAAAUUCUAAGGGAGAUGAAGAACAGUAUGCAAGAGGAGGAAUGAAUAGAAGGAAGGGAAGUGAAUGGAUGCUAGUCAAUGUUGAAAUUUUUAU
RNAcentral lists this long non-coding RNA (6992 nucleotides) under Populus trichocarpa (black cottonwood). RNAcentral describes it as "long non-coding RNA (PTRI_LNC000517)". Lineage: Eukaryota; Viridiplantae; Streptophyta; Magnoliopsida; Malpighiales; Salicaceae. The record is from RNAcentral.